Molecule: transfer RNA, 58 nt
Filed under: Caldilineaceae bacterium
Lineage: Bacteria; Bacillati; Chloroflexota; Caldilineae; Caldilineales; Caldilineaceae
Description: tRNA-Glu
Rfam family: tRNA
About the family: Transfer RNA (tRNA) molecules are approximately 80 nucleotides in length. Their secondary structure includes four short double-helical elements and three loops (D, anti-codon, and T loops).
Source: RNAcentral
CGUCUAGAGGCCCAGGACACAGCCCUCUCAAGGCUGAGACACGAGUUCGAAUCUCGUA